Molecule: transfer RNA, 71 nt
Filed under: Bradyrhizobium sp. NAS96.2
Lineage: Bacteria; Pseudomonadati; Pseudomonadota; Alphaproteobacteria; Hyphomicrobiales; Nitrobacteraceae
Description: tRNA-Leu
Rfam family: tRNA
About the family: Transfer RNA (tRNA) molecules are approximately 80 nucleotides in length.
Source: RNAcentral
GGGAUAGCUCAGUUAGGUAGAGCAGGUGACUCAGAAUCAUCGUGUCGCGGGUUCAACUCCCGCUCCAAGCG